This is a long non-coding RNA of Alligator mississippiensis (American alligator), 3184 nucleotides long. RefSeq lists it as uncharacterized. NCBI's taxonomy places the organism in Eukaryota, Metazoa, Chordata, Crocodylia, Alligatoridae. The record is from RefSeq and is a predicted model, not a curated record. The transcript is spliced from 2 exons.
CCGAGAGCUGAGGGCAGAGAGAGGGACAGCGGCUCCGCGCCCCGCGCCUGCAGCUCGGGCAGGCGGGAGAUCGAGGCAGAGAGAGAAGGAGAACAAAAGCUGUCUCGAGGGUCCCUCGGGCGGUGCCCGCGGCCGGGGCAGGCGGGGUGGCGCUGCUCGGGCGGACACACGAUGCGCGACAUCGACUCCGGGCCGGGGAGAGCGCCAGCGCCGGGAUCCAAGGCUCGUGUUCCCAUUGGCCAACAGGAGCCGGGAGGCGAUUGGGUGGAACGGCCCCUUGGCCGGGUGACGGCCGCUCCGCCCUUCUUCGCUCUGAUUGGCCUGUGCCGAGGGAGGCGGGACCAGGAGCCGGGCCUCCCUGUCCGAGUCCGCAGCUCCGCGGGUGCGCGCACGGGCGGCGCGGAGCCACGGGGCGCUGCUGGGCCGGGCCGGCGGGCAGAUCCGGGGCGCUGCGGCACGUGCUGUGGCGACCACGGCGGGUCGUGCGCGACACUGGGCAGGUGCCGCCGUGCGCGGGGCCCGUGGGGCUCUCCUCUGCGGGGGUGCUGCAGCGCGAAGCUGCUUGUCUGUCCCGGGGCCCCUUUCCUCCCCGCCUGCCGCCUGCGCAGCCUCCCUGGCUCCUCGACGUGGUGGGCGGUGGUGCAGGGGGUGCACGACGGGCCUUUGCUUCUCGGCCGGCGCUGAAUCCUCUCCAGCGAGCGCCUCGCCAGGCACCAGCUUGACCGAGAAAGAAAUGCACACGUGUUGCGGUUCCGGGAGCAGCGCCGGACAUCGCUUCAGUUCCAGGGGAGUUUGGGAGCCUCGGUGUCAAUAGUGUGAAGCUGAGAGCGGGGAGCUGAAGGGACGGUGUUAUUAGUGCGUGCGUGCUCCGGGAACCUUACAUUGUGCACAGAUGUAUCCAGUACGGCGGGGUCUGUAUAUGCAGAUAGUGUGUGUGUGUCUGUGUGUGCGUGUGUUACACACCCUCAUUAACCCAGUGAUCCUGUUACUACGUGUGUCCCUCUGUCUCUGUCCAUGGUGAUAGUGAUGUAGGUAUUCAUCUCUCACCCUUGCACAGCUCCACACACGAGUAUGUGUCGUUAGUGCGGGUAUCACACGUGUCAUGGGGCAUCCGCACCCUGCAUGGAGGAAACCCGGCUCAGUGCUGCCCUCCCGCUGAGCGCUCCCCUUGAUUCGUAUCAGGUCUCAUUCCACUUGCUGAGGUUGGCCGGAGACGAUGCCCACAGACUACAGGGGAGGUUGCAGGCUUCUGGAGGACACUGAGUGCGCUGGGACCCCGAGGCUUAGUGACCUCCCUGUAACUCAGGUCCAGGUCUCUGCUCCUCUGUUCUGCUGCUCCUGGCACUAUGAGAUGCCCCUCCGCACCCUGUAAACAUGGCUGCACCCUGACCCGCUCUGACCGUGGGGGAGGAGGCCUCGUUUAGCCCUUUGGGCUCUGUGGCUCCCAUGGCAGGAGGCUGCAGUCGUGGCCCUGAUGUCCCCAGACAUGGGGCAGCUUUGACCCCUGAUCGAGACCACUUGGUGCACUUGUCAGGUGGCACUGAGGGCUUUGCAGGUUGUCUCCGGGCUUCAUGCCCCACCAGACAGCUGUGUGCGGGGAGCACGGCCCUGUAAGCAGGGUUUUGAGUGUUUGUGGUCACCGUUCAUGGUGCCGCCCUAGCGGUUCCGUGCAGAGUCCUUGCCCUUUGCAGUCUCCUUCUGGCUGGCCCAGAUGUCAGCAGCCGAGCCCACAGAUAUCUGCACUUCCCCAUUUCCAUCGACGGAGGACAGAUCGGCAGCAGAUUCAGGUAAGAAAGGGAGCCAAGUUGUGACCCCCAGACCCAUCCUGCAAGGUGGUCAGCAUCUGUCUCUGCUUAGUAUAGGCCCUGGUAGGAGAAGCAGGAAAGAUGACACACAAGCAGGCAUCAGCUGCCAAGGAGGGAAGAAAACCAUGGAAACCCAGGAAAAGUAAGGGAGUUUCGAAGUGUUGACUUUUUUUAUUUUAUUUUGUAUUUUCAGUUUUACUCCGUCACUGAGCCGUGGACCUUGGAAUCGGUGGGCCCCAUAAAGUUGGGUUCCUGACACUUCCUUCUAAGCAGAGAAGACCACAGACAACCAACUGAGGAAGGAAGAAAUCCCCGCCCGCUCAGCGUAAGGGACGUAAAGGUCCCUGAAGGGCAGCCGGAGAAGAAGGAACGGAAGCAAGAGAAGAAAGCUCGGGAACAAGAAGUGUGGGUUGGGGUGGGCAGAAGGAAGGGGAAUGUUUAAUGUCUGCUUAGAGAAGUUCAGAUGGAGACUGCUGAGUGCCUCUCUACACUUCCAAACACCCAUUAGGGGCAAGCAGCCGCACGCUUCAAAUUGCACCGUGCACUCGGUCUUGGGUUGGCCCCAAUUGUGUGCAGGGAGGUUGAGGCUUUGUGCUAGUUGUGUAUUUUGAUAUGCAGCAGUGAAGGGUUUCGUAGGUUGUUUGGCUUUGCUAGUUAAGCAGUGGAUCAGAAUAGAUGCAAUCCAAGGCAGCGUAUAGGGUGUUCUUGUUUGGCUCAUUGAGUGGUUCUUGGUGUUAGUAUAGAAAUUCAGGUUUGUGCUCAGUUCUGUUUGUGGUUUGGCUGUAGCUUUGCGUAGGAUGUAGCUUGCGGGGCCAAUUUGAGGCUGUUUGUGAGGCAAUAAAUAUAUUUGCAUCUGUACGUUAAGGCUUCAGGGUGUUCGUGUUUAACCUCCAGCUCCACAAGGACAAAUUUCUUGUCCUGUGUCCAAACAAUCAUAAAGGUAGUUGGCGUGGUCAACAUCAAACCGGCAGGAGCAAACGGGCCUAAGAUGUGCACAGUUGAACAAUAAACUGUCUAAGAAACUUCACCUCGUGGCUGGUACUUUUCUGUGCUGAAAUUUGGCUAUGGGCCUUUCCUGUUGCGAGCUGGCUGAAGGAUGAACUUUUUAAUUCAGUCUGCCGAUCCGAUCUGUGUUCUUACUUGUGCAAUGCAAAUAUUUCCUCUUCUGAUGGACCAGUGGGAAAAGAAUGUGUAACGCAUGGUUCCUAGUCAUUGGUUUACAAUGGUUAAUGCACUGUAGGAAAGCAGUCCUGAGUUAUUUGAGGUAAAGUAUAGUGACGUUGUGGUGCUUCGGUGUAAUCUGUUGAAGUUCAGCUGCUCCUUGUCUCAAAAGGAAUACGUGGUCCGAAUGAAAAUAAAAUUCUCAGACUUGUGAGGUA